This is a non-coding RNA of Cucumis melo (muskmelon), 67 nucleotides long. The record is from Rfam. Lineage: Eukaryota; Viridiplantae; Streptophyta; Magnoliopsida; Cucurbitales; Cucurbitaceae.
UCCUCAGUAGCUCAGUGAUAGAGCGGUCGGCUGUUAAUGGUCGUAGGUUCAAAUCCUACUUGGGGAG